Molecule: long non-coding RNA, 244 nt
Filed under: Glycine max (soybean)
Lineage: Eukaryota; Viridiplantae; Streptophyta; Magnoliopsida; Fabales; Fabaceae
Description: long non-coding RNA (GMAX_LNC002496)
Source: RNAcentral
GAGGCGCUUCCGAAACGUUUCCGUAACGUUUUCCGUGAGGAAUUUCGCGAAGGUUUUCGACCGUUCUUCGACGUUCUUCAUUCAUUCUUCAUCGUUCUUCGAUCUUCAACGGGUAAGUACCUCGAACCAAGCUUUUCGAUUCAUUCUAUGUACCCGUAGUGGUCCACAUUGUGUUUCGUGCAUUUUUAUUGUCGUUUUGUUUACUUUUUAUACCCCCUGUUGACGUGCUUAAGCCAUUUUACUU